GAUGAACGCUGGCGGCGUGCUUAACACAUGCAAGUCGAACGGUGAAGCAGGAGCUUGCUCCUGUGGAUCAGUGGCGAACGGGUGAGUAACACGUGAGCAAUCCUGCCCUGGACUCUGGGAUAAGCGUUGGAACGACGUCUAAUACCGGAUACGAGACGCGAAGGCAUCUUCAGCGUACUGGAAAGAACUUCGGUCCAGGA
This 200-nucleotide ribosomal RNA is filed under the name uncultured bacterium. RNAcentral's name for it is "partial 16S ribosomal RNA". It matches the Rfam family "Bacterial small subunit ribosomal RNA", at positions 28 to 225 of the family's 1533-position model. The record is from RNAcentral.